UGGUUCUAGCAUCGAUGAAGAACGCAGCGAAAUGCAAUAAGUAAUAUAAAUUACAUAAUUCAGUGAAUCAUUGAAUCUUUGAAUGCACAUUGUGCUCUCUAGCAUUCUAAGGGGUAUGCCUAUUUGAGCGUCAUUACAACCCUCAAGCUCUGCUUGGUAUUAGGCGUCACCUCUGCGGCGCGCCUCAAAAUUAGUGGCGGUGCCGUCGGGCUUCAGGCGUAGUAGAACUCUCUCGCCAUAGAGCCCGCUGGCGUGCUGGCUAAAACAUCUUACACCAGUUGACCUUAGAUUAGAUAGAGAUACCCGCUAA
This 310-nucleotide unclassified non-coding RNA is filed under the name uncultured fungus. RNAcentral's name for it is "partial contains 5.8S ribosomal RNA and internal transcribed spacer 2". The stretch from base 1 to 133 matches the Rfam family "5.8S ribosomal RNA", at positions 22 to 154 of the family's 154-position model. Lineage: Eukaryota; Fungi. The record is from RNAcentral.